CCUACGGGGGGCUGCAGUGGGGAAUUUUGGACAAUGGGCGAAAGCCUGAUCCAGCAAUGCCGCGUGAGUGAAGAAGGCCUUCGGGUUGUAAAGCUCUUUUGUUUGGGAAGAAAUCCCUAAGGAUAAUACCCUUGGGGGAUGACGGUACCAAAAGAAUAAGCACCGGCUAACUACGUGCCAGCAGCCGCGGUAAUACGUAGGGUACUAGCGUUGCUCGGAAUUUCUGCACGUGGUGCGUGCGCAGACGGUUGAAAUCCCCGAGAUAAACUUGGGAACUGCACUUGUGACUGCAAGACUAGAGUGUGUCAGAGGGAGGUAGAAUUCCACGUGUAGCAGUGAAAUGCGUAGAUAUGUGGAGGAAUACCAGUGGCGAAGGCGGCCUCCUGGGAUAACACUGACGCUCAUGUACGAAAGCGUGGGGAGCAAACAGGAUUAGAUACCCGAGUAGUC
This 450-nucleotide ribosomal RNA is filed under the name uncultured bacterium. RNAcentral's name for it is "partial 16S ribosomal RNA". It matches the Rfam family "Bacterial small subunit ribosomal RNA", at positions 338 to 795 of the family's 1533-position model. The record is from RNAcentral.